This 728-nucleotide long non-coding RNA is filed under the name Gallus gallus (chicken). Its description in RNAcentral is "long non-coding RNA NONGGAT007224". The record is from RNAcentral. Lineage: Eukaryota; Metazoa; Chordata; Aves; Galliformes; Phasianidae.
GCCAGAUUGGCCAUUUCCUUUCUUAUUUUCCCUCGGGAGCAAGAAAUUAAGCAAAUACAUUGUAAGCUAUAGCACACAGCAAUUGUGCUCUGUUUCCCACCAUUCUUAUAAAUCCUGAUCCUUCCUUUAAGAUUUCUGUGGUUGGUGUAUAAUAGUGCAACAUGUUCUUCCCUGCCUCCUGUCACCCCAGCCCCCUGUUUUCCCAGCGUCUGCAGAGUCCGGGCUGCAAACUCACACAGACCAUAAUCCUUUAAGCCUCACAUCCCACGGGAGAAUUAAGGACAAGGAGGGAUGCAACUGUGGAUGUCAGAGAGGGGACGGACAACAGGGACAGGGAGAUGAGCAGGGGGAGGAUAUGAGUACAUGGGCAGGCGCUGGGUGCUGCCAGGGUGGCUGUGAGAGCCUGCCCUCCCUCCUGCCCCUGCAUUUCUGGCUCAGAGGGAGGGCAGGGCUAGGCAGAAAGCACACUGGGGAGGCAUGGAAGGACUUUGAGGUUAUAAUCCACAGAAACUUGGGCAAAAUGGUAACUGGGGUAGGUACAAUGUCUGUAAACCACUUAUCUCUACAGCCUCGGUGCAGGGAAGGCACACUGUUUCUCUCCCCCACAUCCAUGCACACUUCUCUCUCUGACAACACUCAGGAAACAGCCACAGGAGGACUACAUACAACAUGAGGGCUCUUUAGCCUCAACCUUUUUCUAUCUGGGAAUAGAGAAGGUUGGACAUCUG